GAAUGAACUUGCUUGAGGUUUGGCUGUGUUAGCAAAGUUGUGUCUUGGUAGUUUUUGAUCAUAAUGUAACUUAACAUUUAACAAAUGCACCUGUACAGCUUUCCUUAUUUAUGACAAGGUGGAUUACACAAUGGUAGGGGCGCCAAAUCGCACAAAAAACAAACAAAUCUUACAUAAUGUUGCUUAACUUAACUAAUUUAACGUUACUGAUUUAAGGAACCACUCAGUGAGUCAGUUGUGACCAAAUCCAACACACCCACAAUGUAAAGGAGUGGCCAACUGCAGGUGCAUGCUGGGUGAAGCUAGAGACACUGAAUUAAAGAAAUACCUAAGGUCGAGGUGUAAAUAUUGUCAAACGAAGUGCGGGUUUUUGUAUAAUGCCCUUGUGUUUAUCUUGACCAAAGCAGAUAGUGAGACAGCUAGCUAGCUCUGUGACUUCAAUGUAGCAUGUAGCUAGCGUGACUAGCCUAGCUUUUUGAGUGAGCAUCCCUCUGCUUGUUGAUACUACAAUCAGCGAACUAUUGUUAGAAUGUUAGUGGGCUAGCUUUGAUAACAAGGACAAUCUAUGGGCUGGCACAAAUACUCUGACCAAACCACCAACGUUACUAAUGCUAGUGUAGGAGAUACGGAUCAGUUAAUGUUGAAAGUGUACAGUCUGAAAUGGGGACUGGCUCACCUUAAACCAUCAGAGCAGCAGCAAAGGAACUUAUGAUACCCUGACACUCAUUCAGUGAAAAGAUGUGAAAGAUCUGGAGGAGCGCCACAGCGAUGCCCAUCCUUGGCUCCGUGCCCGAUGCCAGCAGACCUCACAGGAACCACAAAAACGUUCCUCCGGAUCCAGAGAGUAUCCCGAACUGCAACUCAAACCAGUUGCUGGCAGAUUUUUCCUCCUGUGGAGGAUUUCCUCAUGACUCAGUUCGAUGAGGGCAGCCGAAUGCUGGGUGGGAUGGAGAGGAGAGAGAAACACAGGAGGAGAGAGAGGCUGUAUCUGAAGGCAUGCGUGUGUGGGCUCCAGUCAGUCUCUACCAGUACCCUGGGAAUGCCACUACUCAGCCCAGCCCAGCACAGAGCAUCCAGGUUGUAUCCAGGGAGACCAGGACCAGAGAAAAAAAAUCCACCGGGGACUGCGUUGGAGUAAAGACUUCCACCACUGCACUCCAUGUCAUUGAGGACAUGAAUGUUUACUAAAAAAAAUCUUGUUUUUUUUCUUUUGAAUUUGUCCUCUGGGCCUGUUGUCAUAGAAAUUCAAGACUUCAUGUCAUCAUGUUUUUGCAUCAACUGCCUCUGUGCUGGAAGUCGGAAUGCACUCUUUCUGUGAUUCCUCACAUUUGGACACUGCCGAGCUUGUGAUUGUAGAAAGGUGUUUGUGCCAAGACUGUCCCAUUGCACACAAACACAGUGAGUGUGCCCGCCUCCCCCUGAGCCUGAAGGGGCAUCUGUUCCUUCCUUGUUGGACAGUGAUUGUAUAGCAGCAGACGUGUAUAGUAUACACGAGUGUGUGUGUGUGUGUGUGUGUGUGUGUGUGUGUGUGUGUGUAUGUAAGGGCAAGUGUGCUGAUGAGAAGAAGAAAGAGACAGAGAUUGCAUUAUGUAAGUCAGCAUGAUGUGUCUCUCCUUUCUUCAACACACAGACAUGCACAUGCUUAAAUAAGUGGAGUGUCACCUUCUCUAUUGCUGUGUCAGGACUUUGGAUUGGAAGCAGGAAAGAGGACCAUCUCAUGGAAAUACCGACCCUUCUCCAGCCUUCUGUAAUUUUACCUUUCCGCUCUGGUUCUUUCUCCCUCGCACUUCCUGGUCGGUGUUGCUAAUUACGCCUUGGACCGUUCUGAAUUAGAAUGUCAUUAUCAUUAUCCAAUGCUAUUUUAUGUCGUCAAGGUUCUCGAUUUGCAUUUGUAUUCACAUGUUUUUCCAUUUGUACACUGACGCUGUGAAAUUGCCAAGAUUAAUUUUCUGUAUGCAUGGUAUUCAUGCAAGCAUUUAUUUUCUGGAAUUAGCAUUCAACUGGCACCUUAUUACACCGCAUAGACCUUUCAUUAUCUCUAAUGAAUGACUCCUUUAAAUGGGGAACAUUUGUACUUGAAUGCUGUAUCUUAAUAUGCAUCGAAAAUUUCACAUUCACGUUGUGAUGAUUGCACAAAUUGGUUCUCCUGAUAUACGUUUUUGUAUGUGAAUGAAAGUUACAUAUGGCCUUAUUUCCUGUGGUAAACACGAGUUAAAACAUUGCUAUCCCUUGAGCACAUGUUUGUGUUCAAGGGAUAGCACCAAUGGUUUGCAGUAAGUGCUUUUAUAUUUUAGUUACAGCCCUCUUAAUAACAUUAGUAAUGAUGAUACUAAAUAGAAGACGCACAAUAAGAUAAAACAAUACAGAAAUAAAAUGCAAAUAACAGAUAAAAAAAUAAAGCCAUGUUUAAUGAACAUUGUAGGGUAUAAGAUGAUUCUGGCUAUGGGCCCAGGUCAAGGGGUGAAACAAGGGGUAAGGAUACUGACACUUGAAGGGGAAUAAGUAGGAUUAAGAUUACAAGAUAAGCGUUAUGCUGCUAAACCAGUUCACAAAUCAUCUAAAAGAAUGAGGAAGACUAAAUACAAAAUAAAUACAAAUACAAAAAGAGAAAUCAAUAAAUUAGCUGAAACAAUGAAGGCCAUCAUUAUAUUCUCACCAUACUCCUCCUUUAAAAGUCAUGGUAGCUGAGGACUACAUUUAAUUUAAUAUCAUUAUAUCAUUCUUUAAAUUCAGUUUAUCUUAAAUCUACCUUCAGUUUAUACUUUUGAAAUUGUGAGACAUCUACUGCUGCUUAUUUUGUCAUUGGCCUUUCAAAUUUAUAUUAGUUUAAGUUGACAGUGGAUGAGGAAAUAAGCUUUAGAUUUGUACAUGUGUGGGUUUGUAUAUGGUUUAUGUGUGUGUGCUUGCAGUUUGUGUAUGUGUGCAUAUGCUUUGUCCUUGUUUUAUAAUGUCAUGUACUGUAUGCUUGAUCAAAGUAGUAAUGACCAAGAUUUGGCAAUAAGAGUUGCCUAAAACAGCGAGUUUCCAAAGAAGAAGUAGACCUAAGCAAUUCAAACAUUUUUGAAGGUCAAGACCAAUGUAUUAUUUUCUUAACAGAAAAAAGUAUUCAGUAUGUCUCACAAAAAUCGAUUCGCUACAGUGUGCCUAUAAAACAGCACUUAAACUAAAACAUUAAACUCAUAAUAUUAAUUAUCUUGAGUAAGACCAUCAUUUCUUAUGACAUGGUGAAACAAGUUUCUCUGCACAUGGUACGGACUGACUCCUUUUUGUGUCAGUUAAACAAAUGUCAUUGCCAUUCAAAGCAGCACUGUCAAAAAGGGAAAAUAGGAAAUAAUCAAACACAAAAGAUAUUAAAGUAGCUAAUGUUGACAAAUGCUGUGGUGCAUUUGCAGGUAUCACUGGAACUGUUUUCUCAUUGUUUGUGUGUCUCAUAGAUGCCACCUGCAUCGAGGCGAGGUACCUACAUUAUGUAACUAACUGGCACAGGACCGUUAUAAUGGAGGACUGAAUGAAAGUUGGCUGCUUAUAACCCACCUGCUAAUUUAUACAGUAUCUAGGGUUCCUGUAGUUCAGUGUCUAUAUCAUUAAGCUGUACCAUAAUCAUCAAGGUGUUUUCUGACAUUUUUGAAGAUCCCAAUUCAAGCCAACGUGCAGACACAUUUUUGGUCUGGUGGGCUGAGCCGAAGAGAACAUACUGACAGUAUUAUACAGCUUUUUGAAGUUGUAUUAAAGUGAUACCCUUUUAACUGAUAGUACCCUUGGUUGAAUAAAAUGAAUUAUUUUCUUGAAAUUCACAUUACAUUUUAUUCAGUAACUUGUGAAUAUUGAGCAGUAGUUAAAAGGAGCUGUUAAGGAAUGAACUACCUUUUGUUCCAUCUGAAAGGAUCAAGUAACGUCCAUACUUAAGAAAGCGUACAAGGACAGGACAAGGCACCCAAUUAUUUAUCCAUGUGUGAGGUAGUGAGUGUCCUUUUGUAAAAAAAAAAAAAAAAAAAAAAUUAAUUCCAAAUUUAACCUUAAAACUUAGCAGCAGCAUUUUCACAUUACUUCCUGUACUGAGAACUGUUUUAUUAGUACUGCUAGAAUUAAAACUAAAACUACUUUAUUAACUGACCUUUGGGAGCAAAAUUACCGCAGUGUAUGUGUGCAGAGAAACCUCCACUGUUUGACCUCAACUUUUUCAGAAUGUUGGGACAGCAAUAAAGACAAUGAGGUUUAAUAAGAGAGUGUUUAUCUUUUAUAUUCAUUUGUAUUCAUUUUCAUUCAUUUAUUAGUAUUAUAAUACUACUGAUGAAAUUGUAAGAACACUGUGGUUGUGUUGAUGCUGUUGUUGUUGAUCAGGCAUCAUGCUUCAAUAUUUAUGGGCUAGGUGGAGUGUGAAGCAUAGUAGCAGCACAUGUUGUAACAUAUUGUACAUAUGAUGGUACAGUGUGAUUGUGUUUUGAAGGUAAGGCAUACAUGAGAAGCAAUGCUAGAUUGUUACCCUCAAUGAAAGCUCCCUUCACAUUCAUUGCACCCCUUCACUGCAUAGCACACAUUAGUAGGUGAGGAUUUAUUUCAGCACAAGAUGUUCCCAUAAAAGUGGCAAUCUUGUUCCACCCGCAUGACGGUUUUAGCAUUCUGGGUAACAGCAUCUGAAAUCAGAGACACAAAUGGGUCUGUCCAUAAAUACAUCUACGUAUAAUGGAGCCACCCUAUGUAAAAGCACUGUUGUUAAAAAUCCUGUGCUGAUGAUAAUUGCUCUUAUUCCAUUUUGAGUUAUUGUGUUAUGUCAGGGUGAUUUGUUUGAGCAAGGUAUGAGUAUGAUAUGAGUCACCUGGUAGUUGUUGACCUGAUAGUUGUGUAUAUGAAUGUUUCACUGUGUGUUCACAGAAUCUGGAAUUUCCCAACUUUAAUAAAGCCAACACUCUGCUGAAA
Molecule: long non-coding RNA, 4917 nt
Organism: Micropterus salmoides (largemouth bass)
Lineage: Eukaryota; Metazoa; Chordata; Actinopteri; Centrarchiformes; Centrarchidae
Exons: 5
Source: RefSeq, a predicted model, not a curated record